This 447-nucleotide ribosomal RNA is filed under the name uncultured bacterium. Its description in RNAcentral is "bacterial SSU rRNA". It matches the Rfam family "Bacterial small subunit ribosomal RNA", at positions 355 to 825 of the family's 1533-position model. The record is from RNAcentral.
UCGGGAAUUUUGGGCAAUGGGCGAAAGCCUGACGCAGCAACGCCGCGUGAAGGAUGAAGUAUUUCGGUAUGUAAACUUCGUAAGAAUAGGAAGAAUAAAUGACGGUACUAUUUGUAAGGUCCGGCUAACUACGUGCCAGCAGCCGCGGUAAUACGUAGGGACCAAGCGUUGUUCGGAUUUACUGGGCGUAAAGGGCGCGUAGGCGGUGUGUCAAGUCAGUUGUGAAAUCUCCGAGCUUAACUCGGAACGGUCAACUGAUACUGUCACACUAGAGUACAGAAGGGGCAAUCGGAAUUCUUGGUGUAGCGGUGAAAUGCGUAGAUAUCAAGAGGAACACCUGAGGCGAAGGCGGGUUGCUGGGCUGAUACUGACGCUGAGGCGCGAAAGCUAGGGUAGCAAACGGGAUUAGAUACCCUGGUAGUCCCUGAGCGGGCUGGCAAGGCGCAU